GAUGAACGCUGGCGGCGUGCUUAACACAUGCAAGUCGAACGGAAAGGCCCAAGCUUGCUUGGGUACUCGAGUGGCGAACGGGUGAGUAACACGUGGGUGAUCUGCCCUGCACUUCGGGAUAAGCCUGGGAAACUGGGUCUAAUACCGGAUAGGACCACAUUUUGGAUGGUGUGGUGGAAAGUUUUUCGGUGUGGGAUGAGCUCGCGGCCUAUCAGCUUGUUGGUGGUGUAAUGGCCUACCAAGGCGUCGACGGGUAGCCGGCCUGAGAGGGUGUACGGCCACAUUGGGACUGAGAUACGGCCCAGACUCCUACGGGAGGCAGCAGUGGGGAAUAUUGCACAAUGGGCGCAAGCCUGAUGCAGCGACGCCGCGUGGGGGAUGACGGCCUUCGGGUUGUAAAAUCCUUUCGCUAGGGACGAAGCGUUAUGUGACGGUACCUGGAGAAGAAGCACCGGCUAACUACGUG
Molecule: ribosomal RNA, 466 nt
Filed under: uncultured bacterium
Lineage: Bacteria
Description: partial 16S ribosomal RNA
Rfam family: Bacterial small subunit ribosomal RNA
Source: RNAcentral